This 512-nucleotide ribosomal RNA is filed under the name Anaplasma centrale. Its description in RNAcentral is "bacterial SSU rRNA". It matches the Rfam family "Bacterial small subunit ribosomal RNA", at positions 847 to 1356 of the family's 1533-position model. The record is from RNAcentral. Lineage: Bacteria; Pseudomonadati; Pseudomonadota; Alphaproteobacteria; Rickettsiales; Anaplasmataceae.
UGUAGCUAACGCGUUAAGCACUCCGCCUGGGGACUACGGUCGCAAGACUAAAACUCAAAGGAAUUGACGGGGACCCGCACAAGCGGUGGAGCAUGUGGUUUAAUUCGAUGCAACGCGAAAAACCUUACCACUUCUUGACAUGGAGGCUAGAUCUUCCUUAACGGGAAGGCGCAGUUCGGCUGGGCCUCGCACAGGUGCUGCAUGGCUGUCGUCAGCUCGUGUCGUGAGAUGUUGGGUUAAGUCCCGCAACGAGCGUAACCCUCAUCCUUAGUUACCAGCGGGUAAUGCCGGGCACUUUAAGGAAACUGCCAGUGAUAAACUGGAGGAAGGUGGGGAUGAUGUCAAGUCAGCACGGCCCUUAUGGGGUGGGCUACACACGUGCUACAAUGGCGACUACAAUAGGUUGCAACGUCGCAAGGCUGAGCUAAUCCGUAAAAGUCGUCUCAGUUCGGAUUGUCCUCUGUAACUCGAGGGCAUGAAGUCGGAAUCGCUAGUAAUCGUGGAUCAGCAUG